GCUAGCACAUGGUUGGAUCCAAUUUUCUCUUUGCAUUUGAAUUACUUAUUUAAUAAGAUUAAUUCAAGUUAAUUAUCUGCUAAUAAGCUAAAUGAAUUAGAUUUAUUGGAUUCCAAUUGUUGGGUGCCUAGAGUUUUGGAUUAUAUAGAUUAAGGGAUCAAACCUUUAAUCAAUUUUUUUGAUUGUUUGCAUGGGACACCACUUGAUUUGAUCAAGCUGAGU
RNAcentral lists this long non-coding RNA (222 nucleotides) under Elaeis guineensis (African oil palm). RNAcentral's name for it is "long non-coding RNA (EGUI_LNC070883)". Lineage: Eukaryota; Viridiplantae; Streptophyta; Magnoliopsida; Arecales; Arecaceae. The record is from RNAcentral.